CCUACGGGAGGCUGCAGUGGGGAAUAUUGGACAAUGGGCGAAAGCCUGAUCCAGCCAUGCCGCGUGUGUGAAGAAGGCCUUCGGGUUGUAAAGCACUUUCAGUGGGGAAGAAAGCCUUGGGGCUAAUACCCUCGAGGAAGGACAUCACCCACAGAAGAAGCACCGGCUAACUCCGUGCCAGCAGCCGCGGUAAUACGGAGGGUGCGAGCGUUAAUCGGAAUUACUGGGCGUAAAGCGCGCGUAGGCGGUCUGGUAAGCCGGUUGUGAAAGCCCCGGGCUCAACCUGGGAACGGCAUCCGGAACUGUCAGGCUAGAGUGCAGGAGAGGAAGGUAGAAUUCCCGGUGUAGCGGUGAAAUGCGUAGAGAUCGGGAGGAAUACCAGUGGCGAAGGCGGCCUUCUGGACUGACACUGACGCUGAGGUGCGAAAGCGUGGGUAGCAAACAGGAUUAGAUACCCCAGUAGUC
RNAcentral lists this ribosomal RNA (465 nucleotides) under Vreelandella stevensii. Its description in RNAcentral is "partial 16S ribosomal RNA". It matches the Rfam family "Bacterial small subunit ribosomal RNA", at positions 338 to 795 of the family's 1533-position model. Lineage: Bacteria; Pseudomonadati; Pseudomonadota; Gammaproteobacteria; Oceanospirillales; Halomonadaceae. The record is from RNAcentral.